This 505-nucleotide ribosomal RNA is filed under the name uncultured bacterium. RNAcentral's name for it is "partial 16S ribosomal RNA". It matches the Rfam family "Bacterial small subunit ribosomal RNA", at positions 28 to 507 of the family's 1533-position model. The record is from RNAcentral.
GACGAACGCUGGCGGCGUGCCUAAUACAUGCAAGUAGAACGCACAGUUUAUACCGUAGCUUGCUACACCAUAAACUGUGAGUUGCGAACGGGUGAGUAACGCGUAGGUAACCUGCCUGGUAGCGGGGGAUAACUAUUGGAAACGAUAGCUAAUACCGCAUAAUAUUAAUUAUUGCAUGAUAAUUGAUUGAAAGAUGCAAUUGCAUCACUACCAGAUGGACCUGCGUUGUAUUAGCUAGUAGGUGAGGUAACGGCUCACCUAGGCGACGAUACAUAGCCGACCUGAGAGGGUGAUCGGCCACACUGGGACUGAGACACGGCCCAGACUCCUACGGGAGGCAGCAGUAGGGAAUCUUCGGCAAUGGACGAAAGUCUGACCGAGCAACGCCGCGUGAGGGAAGAAGGGUGUCGGAUCGUAAAGCUCUGUUGUAAGAGAAGAACGGGUGUGAGAGUGGAAAGUUCACACUGUGACGGUAUCUUACCAGAAAGGGACGGCUAACUACGUG